GAUGAACGCUGGCGGCGUGCCUAAUACAUGCAAGUCGAGCGAACAGACGAGGAGCUUGCUCCUCUGACGUUAGCGGCGGACGGGUGAGUAACACGUGGAUAACCUACCUAUAAGACUGGGAUAACUUCGGGAAACCGGAGCUAAUACCGGAUAAUAUAUUGAACCGCAAGGUUCAAUAGUGAAAGACGGUUUUGCUGUCACUUUUAGAUGGAUCCGCGCCGCAUUAGCUAGUUGGUAAGGUAACGGCUUACCAAGGCAACGAUGCGUAGCCGACCUGAGAGAGUGAUCGGCCACACUGGAACUGAGACACGGUCCAGACUCCUACGGGAGGCAGCAGUAGGGAAUCUUCCGCAAAGGGCGAAAGCCUGACGGAGCAAAGCCGCGUGAGUGAUGAAGGUCUUCGGAUCGUAAAACUCUGUUAUUAGGGAAGAACAAAUGUGUAAGUAACUAUGCACGUCUUGACGGUGCCUAAUCAGAGAGCCGCGGCUAACUACGUG
Molecule: ribosomal RNA, 497 nt
Filed under: uncultured bacterium
Lineage: Bacteria
Description: partial 16S ribosomal RNA
Rfam family: Bacterial small subunit ribosomal RNA
Source: RNAcentral